UGUGCCAGCAGCCGCGGUAAUACCAGCACCUCGAGUGGUCAGGAGGUUUAUUGGGCCUAAAGCAUCCGUAGCCGGCUGUUCAAGUUUCCGGUUAAAUCCACACGCUUAACGUAUGGGCUGCCGGAAAUACUGUUCAGCUAGGGAGUGGGAGAGGUAGACGGUACUCGAUAGGAAGGGGUAAAAUCCUUUGAUCUAUUGAUGACCACCUGUGGCGAAGGCGGUCUACCAGAACACGUUCGACGGUGAGGGAUGAAAGCUGGGGGAGCAAACCGGAUUAGAUACCCGGGUAGUCCCAGCUGUAAACUAUGCAAACUCAGUGACGCAUUGGCUUGUGGCCAAUGCAGUGCUGCAGGGAAGCCGUUAAGUUUGCCGCCUGGGAAGUACGUACGCAAGUAUGAAACUUAAAGGAAUUGGCGGGGGAGCGCCACAAGGGGUGAAGCCUGCGGUUCAAUUGGAGUCAACGCCAGAAAUCUUACCCAGAGAGACAGCAGAAUGAAGGUCAAGCUGAAGACUUUACCAGACAAGCUGAGAGGUGGUGCAUGGCCGUCGCCAGCUCGUGCCGUGAGAUGUCCUGUUAAGUCAGGUAACGAGCGAGAUCCCUGCCUCUAGUUGCCACCAUUACUCUCAGGAGUAGUGGGGCGAAUUAGCGGGACCGCCGCAGUUAAUGCGGAGGAAGGAAGGGGCCACGGCGGGUCAGUAUGCCCCGAAACUCUGGGGCCACACGCGGGCUGCAAUGGUAGUGACAAUUGGUUCCGAAUCCGAAAGGAGGAGGUAAUCCUCAAACGCUACCACAGUUAUGACUGAGGGCUGCAACUCGCCCUCACGAAUAUGGAAUCCCUAGUAACUGCGUGUCAUUAUCGCGCGGUGAAUACGUCCCUGCUCCUUGCACACACCGCCCGUCACACCAUGGGG
RNAcentral lists this ribosomal RNA (912 nucleotides) under uncultured archaeon. RNAcentral's name for it is "bacterial SSU rRNA". It matches the Rfam family "Archaeal small subunit ribosomal RNA", at positions 454 to 1365 of the family's 1478-position model. The record is from RNAcentral.